Molecule: ribosomal RNA, 602 nt
Filed under: uncultured fungus
Lineage: Eukaryota; Fungi
Description: eukaryotic LSU rRNA
Rfam family: 5.8S ribosomal RNA (bases 207-360)
Source: RNAcentral
AGUAAAAGUCGUAACAAGGUCUCCGUAGGUGAACCUGCGGAGGGAUCAUUACAAGUGACCCCGGUUUACCACCGGGAUGUUCAUAACCCUUUGUUGUCCGACUCUGUUGCCUCCGGGGCGACCCUGCCUUCGGGCGGGGGCUCCGGGUGGACACUUCAAACUCUUGCGUAACUUUGCAGUCUGAGUAAACUUAAUUAAUAAAUUAAAACUUUUAACAACGGAUCUCUUGGUUCUGGCAUCGAUGAAGAACGCAGCGAAAUGCGAUAAGUAAUGUGAAUUGCAGAAUUCAGUGAAUCAUCGAAUCUUUGAACGUACAUUGCGCCCCCUGGUAUUCCGGGGGGCAUGCCUGUUCGAGCGUCAUUUCACCACUCAAGCCUCGCUUGGUAUUGGGCAACGCGGUCCGCCGCGUGCCUCAAAUCGACCGGCUGGGUCUUCUGUCCCCUAAGCGUUGUGGAAACUAUUCGCUAAAGGGUGUUCGGGAGGCUACGCCGUAAAACAACCCCAUUUCUAAGGUUGACCUCGGAUCAGGUAGGGAUACCCGCUGAACUUAAGCAUAUCAAUAAGCGGAGGAAAAGAAACCAACAGGGAUUGCCCCAGUAACG